CUGCAAAGUGGAGCUAUCGUGUUCUGCAAAGGGCAAGGAAAGUCCGGACAGCAUAGAGCAAACUCAUCCCGAUAACGUCGGGAGGUUCUGAGUAAUCAGGAUUAAGAAAGUGCCACAGAAAAUAACCGCCAUAACAGGUAAGGGUGAAAAUGUAGGGUAAGAGCCUACAGCUUUGGUUGGGAACAGGCAAAGCGGGUAAACCUUGGGUGCUGAAAUGCCACGUAUAGAAAUCAUUUGGAGCGGCUCGUUCCAGCCUCAGCUUCGGUUAGGGCGGGUUUCAGGGUAGGCAGAUACAUCCGAUCAGUAAUGGGCGGAGCAGAUAAAUGAUAGCAGCCUGAUUGUAUCAGGCAACAGAAUCCGGCUUAUGAAGCUUUGCAGUUUU
Molecule: RNase P RNA, 382 nt
Filed under: Sphingobacteriaceae bacterium
Lineage: Bacteria; Pseudomonadati; Bacteroidota; Sphingobacteriia; Sphingobacteriales; Sphingobacteriaceae
Description: RNase P RNA component class A
Rfam family: Bacterial RNase P class A
About the family: Ribonuclease P (RNase P) is a ubiquitous endoribonuclease, found in archaea, bacteria and eukarya as well as chloroplasts and mitochondria. Its best characterised activity is the generation of mature 5'-ends of tRNAs by cleaving the 5'-leader elements of precursor-tRNAs.
Source: RNAcentral